This 644-nucleotide ribosomal RNA is filed under the name uncultured bacterium. Its description in RNAcentral is "bacterial SSU rRNA". It matches the Rfam family "Bacterial small subunit ribosomal RNA", at positions 64 to 693 of the family's 1533-position model. The record is from RNAcentral.
GAGGGGCAGCGGGAAGGUUAGCUUGCUAACCUUUGCCGGCGACCGGCGCACGGGUGAGUAACACGUAUGCAACCUGUCCGGUACAGGGGGAUAAGCGGCGGAAACGCCGUCUAAUACCGCGUGACAACCCGAGGGGGCAUCCCCUUGGGUUCAAAGGAGAGAUCCGGUACCGGCUGGGCAUGCGGCGCAUUAGCUAGUUGGCGGGGCAACGGCCCACCAAGGCGACGAUGCGUAGGGGUUCUGAGAGGAAGGUCCCCCACACUGGAACUGAGACACGGUCCAGACUCCUACGGGAGGCAGCAGUGAGGAAUAUUGGUCAAUGGGCGCAAGCCUGAACCAGCCAAGUCGCGUGAGGGAAGACGGCCCUACGGGUUGUAAACCUCUUUUGCCGGGGAGCAAGCCUGAGCACGUGUGCCCAGGCGGAGAGUACCCGGAGAAAAAGCAUCGGCUAACUCCGUGCCAGCAGCCGCGGUAAUACGGAGGAUGCGAGCGUUAUCCGGAUUUAUUGGGUUUAAAGGGUGCGCAGGCGGGCUGUUAAGCCGGCGGUAAAAAUUCAGGGCUCAACCCUGUCGAGCCGUCGGAACUGGCAGUCUUGAGUGGGCGAGAAGUAUGCGGAAUGCGUGGUGUAGCGGUGAAAUGCAUAG